GACGAACGCUGGCGGCGUGCUUAACACAUGCAAGUCGAACGGUAAGGCCCUUCGGGGUACACGAGUGGCGAACGGGUGGGUAACACGUGGGUGAUCUACCCUGCACUUCGGGAUAAGCCUGGGAAACUGGGUCUAAUACCGGAUAGGACCACUGCCUGCAUGGGUCGCGGUGGAAAGCUUUUGCGGUGUGGGAUGGGCCCGCGGCCUAUCAGCUUGUUGGUGGGGUGAUGGCCUACCAAGGCGACGACGGGUAGCCGGCCUGAGAGGGUGACCGGCCACACUGGGACGGGGAUACGGCACAGACUCCUACGGGAGGCAGCAGUGGGGAAUAUUGCACAAUGGGCGCAAGCCUGAUGCAGCGACGCCGCGUGAGGGAGGACGGCCUUCGGGUUGUAAACCUCUUUCAGCACCGACGAAGCGCAAGUGACGGUAGGUGCAGAAGAAGGACCGGCCAACUACGUGCCAGCCGCCGCUGUAA
RNAcentral lists this ribosomal RNA (478 nucleotides) under uncultured bacterium. RNAcentral's name for it is "partial 16S ribosomal RNA". It matches the Rfam family "Bacterial small subunit ribosomal RNA", at positions 28 to 523 of the family's 1533-position model. The record is from RNAcentral.